Molecule: transfer-messenger RNA, 369 nt
Filed under: Pedobacter yulinensis
Lineage: Bacteria; Pseudomonadati; Bacteroidota; Sphingobacteriia; Sphingobacteriales; Sphingobacteriaceae
Description: Standard tmRNA
Rfam family: transfer-messenger RNA
About the family: Bacterial tmRNA, also known as 10Sa RNA or SsrA, is named for its dual tRNA and mRNA-like properties.
Source: Rfam by way of RNAcentral
GGGCCCGUUCCUGGAUUUGACGGGGUGGCGAAGGAUAAGUAAGCAUGCAGUGCGUUGUACGGAGAGCACUUAAAUCUGAACGUUCAAACAAUAAUUGGCGAAAAUAACUACGCCUUAGCUGCCUAAUUUAGAAUUACGCAAGCUUUUGUUCCGCUGGCCCUCGCGAGAUUGGGUUAGCAUCAGGAGCAUCGAACAAAUGUCGCUGGCCGCUGCAGGGUGUGAUGCAGGGGUAAGAACAAACACCUAAGGAAGAAGGUUAAGGCGCUUUUCCGGUCUGCCCCUUCCCGACAACCAAACGGAAAAUAAGCAUGUAGAAAGCUUGUUUUAUCUCACAACCGGACAAGGGUUCGACUCCCUUCGGGUCCACAA